UGGGGAAUAUUGCACAAUGGGGGAAACCCUGAUGCAGCGACGCCGCGUGAAGGAAGAAGUAUCUCGGUAUGUAAACUUCUAUCAGCAGGGAAGAAAGUGACGGUACCUGACUAAGAAGCCCCGGCUAACUACGUGCCAGCAGCCGCGGUAAUACGUAGGGGGCAAGCGUUAUCCGGAUUUACUGGGUGUAAAGGGAGCGUAGACGGAGCAGCAAGUCUGAUGUGAAAGGCGGGGGCUCAACCCCCGGACUGCAUUGGAAACUGCUGAUCUUGAGUACCGGAGGGGUAAGCGGAAUUCCUAGUGUAGCGGUGAAAUGCGUAGAUAUUAGGAGGAACACCAGUGGCGAAGGCGGCUUACUGAACGGUAACUGACGUUGAGGCUCGAAAGCGUGGGGAGCAAACA
RNAcentral lists this ribosomal RNA (402 nucleotides) under uncultured bacterium. RNAcentral's name for it is "bacterial SSU rRNA". It matches the Rfam family "Bacterial small subunit ribosomal RNA", at positions 355 to 774 of the family's 1533-position model. The record is from RNAcentral.